UGACCUACGGGGCGCAGCAGUGGGGAAUAUUGGACAAUGGGGGGAACCCUGAUCCAGCGACGCCGCGUGAGUGAAGAAGUAUUUCGGUAUGUAAAGCUCUAUCAGCAGGGAAGAAAAUGACGGUACCUGACUAAGAAGCCCCGGCUAACUACGUGCCAGCAGCCGCGGUAAUACGUAGGGGGCAAGCGUUAUCCGGAUUUACUGGGUGUAAAGGGAGCGUAGACGGUUCUGCAAGUCUGAAGUGAAAGCCCGUGGCUUAACCGCGGAACGGCUUUGGAAACUGUGGAACUGGAGUGCUGGAGAGG
This 305-nucleotide ribosomal RNA is filed under the name uncultured bacterium. RNAcentral describes it as "bacterial SSU rRNA". It matches the Rfam family "Bacterial small subunit ribosomal RNA", at positions 335 to 657 of the family's 1533-position model. The record is from RNAcentral.